UGUAUGAGCACCCAGGGGGCAGGAGCAGAAACAGGAAGACCGGGAUUACAGUCCGCUUUAUAACUCUUUUGAAGUCGCCGGACCCAGCUCGGGAAGCCUGCAGGCUGCGAGCGCGCUGAUCAAAGGUCCCUCUGCGGGCUCAAAUUAACACGGAACUGGCGAGCCGCGCUGCACCUGCCCGCGAAGAGCAGCGUGGCCGCAAAUCAGCUCAUCUUGUCCGGAGGUCGUUUGAUUCUGGCACAGUGCACACAGCGUGAAUCUGCAGAAUCCGCUGCAAAAUUACAGCCAGCUACCGCAGAGAAGCUGAACUCUAGUGUUGGGAAUUGAACCUUGGACCUCUGCAAGCACGGAAUCACUGAGCCCCAGCCCCACCAGCUCUUACUCUGACAUUUCACUACUAUCCUGGAUUUACAGAAGAUACUAGAAAAAUUCUACAAUUAAAAGUUAUUUUGAAGUAUUUAAAGGCUUUACAAAAAUUGUGAAGAAAAAAAUUGUAUUUUUCUGUGGCAUCUUGAUCUAUGAUAUAAAUUGUGAAAUGAUUGGAUUGGACUAAUAACAUAUCAAGAUUGUUCAUUAGAAAAU
Long non-coding RNA from Microtus oregoni (creeping vole), 582 nucleotides. RefSeq lists it as uncharacterized. Lineage: Eukaryota; Metazoa; Chordata; Mammalia; Rodentia; Cricetidae. The record is from RefSeq and is a predicted model, not a curated record. The transcript has 3 exons.